UACGUAGGGGGCAAGCGUUGUCCGGAAUCAUUGGGCGUAAAGAGCGUGUAGGCGGCCCGAUAAGUCCGCUGUGAAAGUCCAGGGCUCAACCCUGGGAUGCCGGUGGAUACUGUCGGGCUCGAGUCCGGAAGAGGAGAGUGGAAUUCCUGGUGUAGCGGUGAAAUGCGCAGAUAUCAGGAGGAACACCCGUGGCGAAAGCGGCUCUCUGGGACGGUACUGACGCUGAGACGCGAAAGCGUGGGGAGCAAACAGG
Molecule: ribosomal RNA, 253 nt
Filed under: uncultured bacterium
Lineage: Bacteria
Description: partial 16S ribosomal RNA
Rfam family: Bacterial small subunit ribosomal RNA
Source: RNAcentral